Long non-coding RNA from Carassius gibelio (silver crucian carp), 4185 nucleotides. RefSeq lists it as uncharacterized. NCBI's taxonomy places the organism in Eukaryota, Metazoa, Chordata, Actinopteri, Cypriniformes, Cyprinidae. The record is from RefSeq and is a predicted model, not a curated record. The transcript has 5 exons.
UGGUCUCACAGAAUUCCGUGAAAUGUCCACGGGUCCUUAACUCAAAAUCCGUGAAGCCAUCACGGAAUUGCCCCAAAUUCCGUGACCCGGCCACGGAUAUUUCUCCAACGCAAGUUAAUUACACUGACCUCCCGUGAUCCACACACGGAUACCCGUUUCAAUGAACGGAGUACAGAACUCGCUGAACGGACGUGCUUUCUCAUUUGGAAACGCAACAUUUGAAGUAGCCUAUUUGUUUCUUUUCCAAUAUCAAAUGCCAUAAUGACAUUAACCAGACAGCUGUUGUAGUUAUUGCAUUGUCCUGUCAUCAUAAACAUUACGUUUGUUUCAGUUACAAAAGUCCCGUGAUGGCACGGACCUCCACAACCUGACCUCACUCACUUUUUUAGGAACUUACAAGCUUUUCGUCGACACUGUUGCAAUGGCAUGUAAUUAACUUGGCAUUUUUUCUCGUCCUGUCAUCAUAAAAUCCAGUUUGAUGGCGUUUUACACACAUUUUGGCUAUAGUCAGAACUAAAAUCUGUGAUAGGAGCACGGAGUGAGUCUGUGCUUAGAUCACGGAUAACUCUAACGCAUGUCAAUGACACUCAUCUUCCGUGGUCCGUACACGGAUCGUUUCAGUGAUGGAGUACAGACCUCACUCAAUGGACGUGCUAUCUCAUCUGGAAACGCAACAUUUGAAGUAUUUAUUUUUUUCAACACCAAAUACCAUGACCAACCUGACUGUUAUUGUAACUAUUGCAUUGUCCUGCCAUCAUACAGAUUCACUUUGAUUCUGUUAGCCUAACUAAAAUCUGUGAUACGAGCACGGAGUGAGUCUGUGCUGAGAUCACGGAUAACUCUAACGCAAGUCAAUGACACUCUUCUUCCGUGGUCCACACACGGAAACCCAGUCUCACGGCAGUUCGUGAUUUUGUCACGUAAUUUAAUCUAUUUAUUCGUGGCAGGCACACGUUUAUUUCCUUAUUUUCAUGAUUGCAGCACGUUUUUUUAAACUAAUGCAUUUCAACUGGAGGCAUCUUUCGUGCAUCAGCACAAUAUUUUCUGAUUAAUUAUUAUUAUUAUUAUUUAAUUUUUCACAGGACAACAGAAGAAACUCACUGAAACUUGAAAAAAAAUCGGAGCUUAACUUACUGUACAAAACUGAGCAACAUACUGUAUUGCUGGUGACAAAAACACAUUAAAACUUUUUUAGCUGUAAAAUGCGCAAUGGUUCUUUUUUUACGUUUUCAUUGAUUUUUAUUUUUUUCAUAGGCCUAGAUUUAUUUAUUUUUUUAUUACAGAAUUCAAUAUAAAGUCCUUGACACGUAACUGUAACACAUUUUAACAUUAAGAAACAAUUUAGUUUAAAUAAAAAGAACAAAAAAAAAUAAAAAAAAAAAUAAAUAAAUAAAUUAUUUAUUAGCGAUAGGCCUACAGAUUUAUUAAGAGUUUUUAUUAAGGCUAUUGUAAAGGAUUCUUAAAAAUGCUGUCGCUGAUGAGCCUCUGAUCGCUGUCAGAUUCUGUGAUAUGAAUGUCCGCUAAGGGGUUUAGAAUGAGCCCCGCUCGGCCCGUGUUCUGGCUUACUGUAAUAUUUCACCUGUAAUAAGACCGAAAUAAUAUAAUUAAAAUAAAGAAAUGAAUGAAUACAUGAUAACAUCUAAAUAAAUGUUGAUAGAUUUAGCGUUAUAGUUUUAAAAAUAUUAAUAAACAGCAAAUCAACACAGCUUCGAAAUAAUAACCAAGAAAGACCUAAAUAAUAAUAAUACAUAAUUAAUAAACAGCGCCGCCCCUCCCACUACGCGCAUCACGCGCUGUGCGUCAACCCCAAAGCGUCAAAAACUGAAGCGUGGUCAAGCGCCUCUAGCGUCACUGACAUGAGAUGUUUAUCGAUUUGAAAUCACGUUCAAGAAGUCUCAUUCAGCACACAUCGCGAUACUUUCCAUCAGUUUGCAAGAGCCGCAGGUUGGGUGAGUUAUACAGUCUAUGGUGAGUAGUAGUAAAUAUGCUAUUUUAAUGCCUGUCCUAAAACGUAUUCUGUCUUCUUUAUUAAUCAGAUGAGCGCCUUAUGUUUACUCUCUGUAUUACAUCGGUCAUCCGAGGCUGUCUUUGAGUUUCAUUGUGUUUAACUAAAUGAACACAGCUGCUAACUGGUCUAACUCUAUCGGUCACGUGACGUGCCACAUACCUGGGAUCCGUUUUAUAUUCAUUUCAGGUUCAAAGAUGUAAGUUGUAUUUGUAGUAAAAUCAUGUUAACCAUGACACCUACAAAAGUAGGUAAAACCCAGUAAACAAGACAUUUACCAUGUGUUUUUUUUUUUUUUUUUUUACCACAGUAACUGUAGCUUUACGGUAGUAUAGUAAUAGCACAUUAAUCACCAAAUUAACUAUAGUUGUACCACUGUAAUGGUAGUGUUUUAAUGUGCUUUUAUAUGACUUAUUUCACAGUAAUCACAUUUACUGUACCAUGCUUGUAAUACCUUUUUAAUGUAAAAAAAAAAAAAAAAAAAAAAAACAUUUUUUCCCAUCUUGCAGUUCAAUUCAUAUUUGUUUAUAUCUUAAAUAUUUUGCUCACAGAUCACUAUUAACAUUCUGUAUAUAAUUCUGUUUUAUUUUCUUUCCCCUUGUAUUAAUUUCUUAGCUGAAAAGACGUAAAGUAAGCAGUCACCCCAGUGGUGUUUGUGGAGAGGUAUUCCUUCAGAAAUGGAGAAGACAGAAAGCUGCAGAGGCAGGAUUGUUUGCAGAUAAUGCUGUUCUUCUUUUUCAGAAGUUUUUGGUGGGCCAACCAUCACAACCUUACUAAAAACUAAAAGAGCUAUUACUGAGUCUCAGCGACUCUUGCCACGAUCAGCUCUUCCCAGAAGAGAAGGAAGACCAAGGAAAUGAUUUGCUCAGGAUGAGGAAUGAAGAUGGUCAUCUUGUGCUCAAGCAAACAGAAGUCCUCUGAUGAUCUCAUCAACCAAAUGAGGGGUUUUGACCAAGUGAUGCUCUUGAAAGGACUGAAAGAAGAGGAUGUGGUAAAUUGUCUUCAGAGAAAAAGCUUCUCAAAAGAUCUUAAAACAGCUUGAAGAAUGGUCUGGGAUCUUAGGACUGGGAGAUCUCACUUGCACCCAGUUAACCUCCAUAGAGAACAUUUAUCAGAAGCGCUGUCUGGGUAGGGCAAGAAACAUCAUCAAGGAUGCCUCUCACCCUAACCAUGGACCUUUCACCCUCCUUCCAUCCGGCAGGCGUUACAGGAGCCUACGCUCUCGAACUAGUAGACUCAGGAAGAGCUUCUUCCCCGAGGCUGUGACACUCCUGAACACCACACCACCAAUCUAACCUGCACCUGCUGUUUUACUGCACUGGUCACAGUACUUUACAUACAUGUAUUGCACUACUCAUAUUUUGCACAGACUGCACAUGGUUAAAUCUAUUACACUAUAAACUGUCUAAAGCUGUUACUGUACAAGCACAGUAAACUAUUUCUACAAUAAAUAUAAUUGCACUACUAUUAUUUUGCAUAUAAUAAAUUGUUAAACUAUACUUUUGCACACUCAUUCAACUGUAUUUAUUACCACUGUUCUCAAGUUCCUGCUAUUCAUAAUGUAUAUAUAAUUCUUCUUUGCUCUGUUCAUAAUGUACAUACAAUCCCUACAUUACAUUCAUAUUUAUAUUCUGUAUAUACUCUGAUCAAUAUUGUAUAUAGCAACUCCACUGUAAAUUCUGUAUAUCAUAAGCUUUACUUACUCUGCACUUUUAUGUAUAUAAAACACUAUAUUCUUGCACUUCUGGUUAGAUGCUAACUGCAUUUCAUUAGCUCUGUACUUGUACUCUUUAUAAUGACAAUAAAGUUGAAUCUAAUCUAAUCUAAUCUAAUCUUCUGGCUGAGAACAAGCUACACCACAUCAGUGCUGGAUAUCAACCAAAAGCUGUUUCCAGACACGAGAGAAGAUCACGAUGAAACCAGUUUAGAUGUGUUGAUAAGGAAUCAUUAUUUUCUGAAACAGUAUCAAAUGUCUUAUAUGUAUCACAUGAUCUGUAUCACAGUUGACUGGAUGGGACUGUGACUUUUAAGGACAUUUCAUCACUCAUCUGUGUGAACUGAUUAAUAUAUGAGGUUAAUGUAUUUUUGAUUAUGAAUAAUUAUUUUCCUUGAAUCUUAUUUGUCUUGAUGCUACUUUAUCAUCUUUAUAGUCUAUGCUUCAAUAAAAUGAAUAUGACGAA